AACAAAGAGACAAGGGGACCUUUCUAUGUUAAAUAAGUAAGACAACUUCGAUCCAUACUAAACCGUCUUGAGUUCCAUUCUGGUUCUCCCCGCUUUGAGGCGAGGUUGAAUCUUUCCACUGUUCUGGGGCUUGAGUUCGGUUCGAAAAAGAAAUGGUAAAGGUACGCAGCAGGUUCCGAAGUCGAAAAAACAGCAUAUUUCCCCUGUUCCUGUUGGUACGUUCAGAAUUGAUUGUUGGGGCGAAAAGAAAGAUUUCCCUUUUCCGGUCAAUUGCCAGUACAAAACUGAAUUGGAAGAAGAAAGGAUCUGGUUGAAAAGAAAGCCAGGGAAGAAGAACUAGCAAAUCAAUCUUUCCCAGGUU
RNAcentral lists this unclassified non-coding RNA (361 nucleotides) under Hevea brasiliensis (rubber tree). Lineage: Eukaryota; Viridiplantae; Streptophyta; Magnoliopsida; Malpighiales; Euphorbiaceae. The record is from RNAcentral.